Molecule: ribosomal RNA, 540 nt
Filed under: Zeugodacus curtus
Lineage: Eukaryota; Metazoa; Arthropoda; Insecta; Diptera; Tephritidae
Description: partial 16S ribosomal RNA
Rfam family: Bacterial large subunit ribosomal RNA
Source: RNAcentral
UUAACAAAAACAUGUCUUUUUGAGUUAUUUUUAAAGUCUGACCUGCCCACUGAAAUUUUUAAAUGGCCGCAGUAUUCUAACUGUGCAAAGGUAGCAUAAUCAUUAGUCUUUUAAUUGAAGGCUGGUAUGAACGGUUGGACGAGGUAUAAGCUGUUUCAUAUAAAUUUAUAAUAGAAUUUUAUAUUUUAGUUAAAAAGCUAAAAUAUUAUUAAAAGACGAGAAGACCCUAUAAAUCUUUAUAUUUUUUUUUAUUUAAAUUUUUUGGGUUUAUUUUAUUUUUAUAAUAGAAAAUAUUUUGUUGGGGUGAUGUUAAAAUUUAAUGAACUUUUAAUUAUAGAAAAUCAUUAAUUUAUGAGUUAUUGAUCCAUUAGUAGUGAUUAUAAGAUUAAGUUACUUUAGGGAUAACAGCGUAAUUUUUUUGGAGAGUUCAUAUCGAUAAAAAAGUUUGCGACCUCGAUGUUGGAUUAAGAUAUAAUUUUAGGUGUAGCCGCUUAAAUGUUAAGUCUGUUCGACUUUUAAAUUCUUACGUGAUCUGAGUUC